Molecule: long non-coding RNA, 2223 nt
Organism: Oreochromis aureus
Lineage: Eukaryota; Metazoa; Chordata; Actinopteri; Cichliformes; Cichlidae
Source: Ensembl
GCAUCCUGAGAGAAAUGGCCAAACGUAACGGACUGAUAGUAGAUGACACUGUCAGUUUAAAGAAGAUCCUGGAAGAUCACGUUCAGUGUCUGAAGCCAGUGAUCUUGUCUUUCUUUUCAUUAGAAAUCUCGGUCACUGCAACAGUCAUAGCCAAGUCUGUGAGAAAGUUACUGACAAAAGGAGGAACAAAAGCAGCAAAGGGAGUAGCGAAGAGUGUAGCUGGAAAAACAGCAGGAAAAGCUGUGGGACGUAUGGCAGGAGGAAUACUUGGACUUCUGUUCUCAGUUCCAGAGCUGAUUGAGAACUGGAACAACAUGGACAUCUGUGAGACAGAAGCCAGUAAGAGCCUGAAAGAGAACGCUAAGGCCAUACGGACCGAGUCUGAGAACAUGAAGAAAGGCCUUCAGGAAAUCCUAAAUGUCUUUCGGAGGUUAGCCAAAGUUAAAGACUGCAUAGACAACAGGACGAGGAGCAGCGAUGACAAGAAAGAAUUAAUAGAGUUUGCAGUGGAACAUUGCAAAGAUGAAGAUGCUCUGCAGUGGCUGAGAGAAAACUCAGAGUUUGAAACUUUCUUCAAACUCAUUGAUUUGUUUCGAUUCUUGACAAAAAAAAAGGAAGAAAAGAAGCUCCACUCCAACAACAUUGACAUCACCUUUGUAGCACAUGGAUCGAUCACAGACUCCAUGAUAUCAGCCAACUGUUUGCUGCCUCUGUCCAAAAUCACUGAUGUGGUCCUGUACUCUCCCUGGAACUGUGCCAUCGAUGCUAAAGUAGCCUACGGUGUUGCUACAGGACUCAUAGAGCCUCAGCACAGAGUUUUCAGCUGUGAAACUCCUGAUCAGGAACGUUGUUGCUGCUGUCAUUGUCGCUCCUGUAGAAAUAAAAAAGUCUGUGAAGUUCCUGAUGCAGAUCAUCAACCCACAAAACGUCCAGAUGAGUGGAACUCCAUGAAGAAGGCUGGAGAUCGAAAGAUUCCUAACAUCAUGCUGCGUCCACUACGACAACGCAAGGACGGUGCUUGGAAAAAUUUUGAGAUUCUCAAGGAUAAGUAUUGUGAACCUGAGGGAAACCGCAUCAUUGUCCCAUUUAUCUUCCCAGGGAGGAGAAAAGAAGAAGUCCCAUUCUUUGUUGUCUCCUUGGCUCUGUCUCAGGUGCUCCUGUUCUCCAGGUUUCAAGCCACACUCCAUCUCACUGCCUGUUUGGGAAAAAUAUCCAGAGAAAUAAAAAUUGAUGAAGACACCCUGAAGGAGCAGUAUGCCUGCACCAUCGACAGCACAAGAAUGACAUCUUCACAAGGUGACAACCCAAGGUCCCCUCCUCUACUCACUCAUCAACUCAUCAGGUACAGCUGCCUCUCUGUACCAUCAACACAAGGAAAGCAGCCGGUCCUGAUGGAGCGCAUGGAUGCUUGCUACAGGCCUGUGCUAACCAAAUAACAGAGGUUUCUUUAUCCAGUUUCAGCCAACAUUGCAAACAAGACUUGCAGCUAAUAGUGGUGGAAGGGGACAAGCUAAAGAAGGUGAACAAAAAUCGUUGGUAAAAACAGACAAAACUGAGAAAACAACAGUGGACGGGAUGGUGGCUGAGGAGCACACUGUCUGUAAUGAUGCCCAUGACCUAAACUUGGCAGUGGACGUGGAAGAUAGAAUUGUCGCCAUCUGCACAGACAUUAGGUUGAUGGCUGCAGAGGUGAUGUCUGAAGCUAGGCAACAUAAUAACCAAUCUGAAGACAACAGCUGACAGCGUGGGGGAAACUUUGUAUACUUUCACAUGAAUACCCUGCAGAAAUGUUGGGAAAGAGUCGCAUCAGAUGGAGAACUGCAUAACAUUUUACAUUUUAUUAGCCCUAAAUUAAAGUAUGUCCAGAUGGGUGAAAGUUACCUUCUACUGAGAGAAGGUAACAACGCUAACACAGACUGUACUUGGAAGUGAGAUUGACUUUUCUUUUGUAUGAAAUAUUCUGAGCAGCUUACCUGUCAAAGAUAAAUACCUUAAGGAUUUUGGUUCAGCCAGUAACAAAAGAACAGUUUUGACCACGAAUGGUUGAAAUGUGACCCAACUAAGAAUGACUAGACUGCCAUGUUGAGUAAUAUUGAGACAAAUACUUUUUUUUUUCCAAUUUACAGGCGGAUCCAUUCCCUAAAAAAAAUCAUUGAAAUGGAUGCAUUAUACAUACCAAUCAUAUAUCUCUAGUGCUACUCUGAAUACAUGUGUGACCAACAG